UGUGACCUGCAAGGAAACAGAAAGCCCUUGCUGAGACAGAGGCUGAAGGAGCAGUAAGGAGCAGUAGGAUCUGAAUUGCCCAGCACAUGGGCACAGUUGAGCACCUCAGCUCUGCUAAAUGUCAGACCAUGUGCCUGGGAAGAAGCAAUGCUGGCUGCAUGGGGACAGGAGGGAGCUGGUCAGACGUGUAACCUCGUCCUGAGGGCUGCUGGUCAGAACUAGAGGCAUGCAGAGUCCUGAGUGAUGUUUGUGGGCUUUAGGAGCUGCUUUUGGCACGUCACAAGGCAUUCUCUGCUGCCCCUGCUCUGAGCCUUGCUGCCAUGACAUGUCAUUGCCUACAGCUGCUCACCCAUGUGACAUACAUGCACUUGACAUGUAAAUGACAAACUGGAGACUGUGCAGGAAAUGACUACCAGCAUGAGUCAAGAGUGGGAAAUCUGCCAAAGAGUACAAGAGUGAAGGAGCUCAAGCUGCUUGGCAUGUCUGGGGAGUGAACUGGUGGCAGCCUUUGCCCCUGUGCUGGUGCUCACUGCCAUCUCUGCUCUCUGGCAAGUGCUGAAGAGCAUCAACACUAGUCAGGGUUGAUCUGUGCAGAGCACAAAUGCUUAGAUUGGCCUUAUUUCCUUUGUCUUGGACACCCUGGAGAUGCCCAGCAUUGCAGGCAGUCCAGACAGUGACCUUUCCACCUCUAAUGGGAGUAGUCAGUCUGUGUCUUGCUCCCAGGGAGCUCAGGGUCAAGUUUGUUGGGAUGCUUAGAGGCCUGUAGCAUAUGGAAAGCUCUUCUCUGUGCCUCUUUCCUGCUGGCCCCAGAGCCUCCUGCUGAUGGGGAGGGUUUGCCAGGAUGGCUCUGGUGUGCACAUCCUCGCUAGCAGCACAAAGGAGCUGCCAACAAAUGGGUCUGUCUGGAUAGAGUAGAUCUAGCUUGGGACUGUGCAAAAUUGUCUCCGCUCAUAGGUUUUCCAUCCACUGGAGGCUUCCUGCUGGAGAUGGAGUUUGCCCUUCUCCUCCUGGCUGAAAUAAGAUCCGCCCUUUCUGGUUCUCUCCACACUGUUGUCUCCAGGACUUUUCCAGCUCUAGGAUGGUGUCUGGUCCUGGAUGCAGGACAUUCCCACUCUGGACUGUCCUCAAUGGGAGUGGACAAAACUCUCCUGGUACCAAGGUGAGCAGUCCACUAGUGUUCACUUCAAAACCCCAUGCUCAUCCAAGCUGUAAAUGCUUCAGCCACUGUUAUUUCUACCAGG
RNAcentral lists this long non-coding RNA (1241 nucleotides) under Junco hyemalis (dark-eyed junco). RNAcentral's name for it is "lncRNA (ENSJHYG00000015735.1)". Lineage: Eukaryota; Metazoa; Chordata; Aves; Passeriformes; Passerellidae. The record is from RNAcentral.